Molecule: long non-coding RNA, 863 nt
Filed under: Arabidopsis lyrata
Lineage: Eukaryota; Viridiplantae; Streptophyta; Magnoliopsida; Brassicales; Brassicaceae
Description: long non-coding RNA (ALYR_LNC002353)
Source: RNAcentral
ACGAUCACCAUUCACUAACAAUUUCUUAAUAACUAUCUCUAUUCUAUCAUCUAUAUAUGUGUGAUGUUGUCUGUCGAUUGCUCCACACAAAAGAAAAAAUAGCAGUUUUUCUCCUAAAAUCCACAAACCCGAUGUUGGCAUGCAACGUCUCUUCUCCGAGUUAAAUAGCUUAUCCAUUUAACAUUCCUUUGUUUCUAUUGCUCAAAUUUUCGGGAUUUCACACUAUUCUCAACUUUUUUUACUAUGGCCUCUGUUUAUCAAGCCUUGCUCACAUGCAAGAUUUAUCUUGGAAGAACGUAGGGUUUACUUCUCUUUCAAAAAAUCUGAAAGCAUGAGAGACAAAAGAUUCAAGCUAGAUGUGUAUACAUUGAAUUUCACGUAAGUAUUGUAUUUUAUUAUUUUAUUAGAUUAAUUUUCUUCCUACUUCUAAUGUGUAUUCUUAUUAUUAUUUUUAUCAAAAUAGAAAUGGAAUAUAUCGAACUUUUUCUUUUAUCUCUCAGGUUACUCUCUAAAAAUCUUUAUUUUAUUAUUUUGUAUAACAGAAAUCAAGAACGAAGGAACAAAAAACAAGCAAUGGAUCAUACAUGAGCCAUGGCAUAUUUUUUUUUUUUUGGUUUUAUAGAUGAUACAUGGAAGAAGUUCACGUGAGUAUUGUAUUUUAUUAUCUUAUCAGAUUAAUUUUCUUCCUACUUCUAAUGUGUAUUCUUAUUCUUAUUUUUAUUUUGCAUGGUUGUCCUCUUUUGGUUUAUGUCUGUUUUGUAUCAUUGCUACCUACAUAGCAACUACUCUCUCCGUAUUUUAAUAAGUGUCGUUUUAGGAUUUUCUUUUUUUAAAAAUUAGAUGUCGUUUUCAAAUUUCUAUGC